GGAGUAUAGUUUAAAUUUCAGAUGAGAAACUCAUUGGUGGUGUUGUAAAAGGAGAGAUACAAUAAAAUACCUUCCGCUCGCCGUCAUAUUCAUGGCGACUUGUGGUGUCGCAGUUCUUCCUCUAAUCGGCAACGCUAUCAACCCACGUGUGGAAAUGGAGGAAGUGGGUGGUGAGAAGAAGAGUGUGGAGGAGAUUGGGCAAGAGGAGGCCUGGUUGAAGCGAGGCAGAGACGAUCAUAAGUUAAGGUGGAAUGGGAACCAAAAAGGGUCUAUGUGAUUGAAACACACCAUUUUCAGACUUAACCCUACCUUCAUCAAGAUUGGGCAGCAGUUCUCCAAAGAAUGGACAUUCUAGCUCAAGAAUACGUUGAUCAGCUAUCAGAGCUUCAAGAUGAAACUUCCUUCAUUUCCUUCAGAAACUGCACUAGCAAUAUUCGAGGAAGAACUUGGGGCUCCCGUGAAUGAUGUAUUUGAAAGAUUCAACCCGGGGCCAAUUGCUGCUGCAAGUCUUGGUAUUUGAUUCAUAAUUUCUUUCAAUAGCCGAAGUAAAUAGUGAUUGAUUGAGUUUCCUUUCCUAUGUAUACGCUGGAAUGUCCAUCGUGCCCGACUAAAGGGCUUGUUGUGUUGGGUCGAUAUGCAGUUGAAUCUUAUUUGGCGCAGAUAUUGUCUCACGACUUUUUCCACGCUGAUCCUGCAAGUGACACUCAAAGCUAUGAUUGUGAAAAGAAAUCGACUUAGUUAAUGCAUUUCAGUUAAAUAUUUAUGUACUAGGAAUCAGUUUUCCACUGAAAAGGUGUGUGAAGAUUUAGUUGUAACGAUCCUUCCUAAUCCCAUCAUUGGUUUUGGGAUAAGGAAUCCAAUGUCGUGAUGUCAAAACCGUCUGAUCAUGGACUAACAACGCGAGUUCAUGUAUCGUCCUGGAAACUUGCUGUCAACGAUUUCAGUGGUGGAAGAUUGAUCUUCUGUGACAUUGGAAUGAUAGGAAGGUACAUUUCCCUUUCUUUGUGUGUAGUAAUCUUAUGUGUUGCAUUGCAUCCUUGCAGCAUAAGCCAAAACAUAAGAGAAAGCUUGCAUGAUUUAUUUCACAGAGUUUAUCAGAAACAUCGCAAAAAGGUCUUCAAGUGAUGGUCCCAAUGGGUGUUCUAGUCCCAACCAGAGAUAUUAAAGCUGUGAGACGAACAGUUCGGUUCUUCCUUAAAAGUUUUUUGAAGCGCGAACCCAUUUUACAAGUUUGGUAGUACAAAAGAAGAGAGCAAAAAACUAAAGAAAAAAUGGAGAUUUUGUGAAUUUGUGUAGCUUUGAAGAAUGCCUCGCAGCACAAAGAAAAGAAAGAGAAUUGGCGAAAGAGGAAUGUGGAUUCCAGAAGCCACUGAACAACGAGGAAGCAAACGAGAAGAAGAAGCAGCGCCUUUCUGCAAUUGCUGAUCGACCACUCAGUCGUCUGAGCUUCUUACAUCCCGUUGCUCUAAAACUCCGGUGCAGAUUCAGAGAGGACAUUGCUGACUCGAAACCAUAAACAUAGGCACAAAGUUGAGAACAUUUCUCAUGUUCUACUUGCUUUUUGGUGCUAUUUAAGUAUUUUUUGUUGAUAUAAUUCCUCUAUCACCGGCUAGAAACUGCCCUAACGCGAUCCACACGAGCAGCCUGUGUGUCGGGCUUGAAGUGUGGUGCAGACGACAUUAGGCUCACUACUAACUACGCAUAUUUGUUAUGUUUUUCUAAUUUAUCUUCUUGAGUAGACAUGCUCACAGAUCAAAAAACAUUGAACCGGCCCACCAUGGAUUUCGACGGUUCCUAUUCCA
Salvia hispanica is the source of this 1802-nucleotide non-coding RNA. Lineage: Eukaryota; Viridiplantae; Streptophyta; Magnoliopsida; Lamiales; Lamiaceae. The record is from RefSeq and is a predicted model, not a curated record.